This 468-nucleotide ribosomal RNA is filed under the name uncultured bacterium. RNAcentral describes it as "partial 16S ribosomal RNA". It matches the Rfam family "Bacterial small subunit ribosomal RNA", at positions 28 to 507 of the family's 1533-position model. The record is from RNAcentral.
GACGAACGCUGGCGGCGUGCUUAACACAUGCAAGUCGAACGGAAAGGCCCUGCUUUUGUGGGGUGCUCGAGUGGCGAACGGGUGAGUAACACGUGAGUAACCUGCCCUUGACUUUGGGAUAACUUCAGGAAACUGGGGCUAAUACCGGAUAGGAGCUCCUGCUGCAUGGUGGGGGUUGGAAAGUUUCGGCGGUUGGGGAUGGACUCGCGGCUUAUCAGCUUGUUGGUGGGGUAGUGGCUUACCAAGGCUUUGACGGGUAGCCGGCCUGAGAGGGUGACCGGCCACAUUGGGACUGAGAUACGGCCCAGACUACUACGGGAGGCAGCAGUGGGGAAUAUUGCACAAUGGGCGGAAGCCUGAUGCAGCAACGCCGCGUGCGGGAUGACGGCCUUCGGGUUGUAUACCGCUUUCGCCUGUGACGAAGCGUGAGUGACGGUAAUGGGUAAAGAAGCACCGGCUAACUACGUG